Molecule: ribosomal RNA, 254 nt
Filed under: uncultured bacterium
Lineage: Bacteria
Description: partial 16S ribosomal RNA
Rfam family: Bacterial small subunit ribosomal RNA
Source: RNAcentral
CACGUAGGGGGCAAGCGUUGUCCGGAUUUAUUGGGCGUAAAGAGCUCGUAGGCGGUUCCGUAAGUCGGGUGUGAAACCUCCAGGCUCAACCUGGAGACGCCACCCGAUACUGCGGUGACUGGAGUCCGGUAGGGGAGCGUGGAAUUCCUGGUGUAGCGGUGGAAUGCGCAGAUAUCAGGAGGAACACCAGCGGCGAAGGCGGCGCUCUGGGCCGGUACUGACACUGAGACGCGAAAGCGUGGGGAGCAAACAGG